CUAGGUAAGAGGACUGUGAAAACAUUUCCUCUUUGAGUGUCUUGUAAAAUAUUUGAAAGCUGUCCUGGUUUAAGCUUCCUUUAAGGAAGAGUAUAUAUAAUACCAUUCCCAUGUCAAUCUAGUCUCUGCUCUAUUUGUUUUGGGUCACACAUAGAAGUCAUUGAAUCAAAUGAGUUUUAAAAUAUACCAGCUGUCCACUAGGACCUGAGCUGAAACUAUUAACUUAUUUUAUUCAGGUCCUUGGGUGGCUGUGAUACAGACAAUGGUCCCCCUGGUCGGGUUUGCACGAAAGUCAUUGCGUAGCAAAACUUCCCCGAGGCCGUAUUUUUAUGUUUCAUUUUCAGGAUGUUGGUGCCACAGAAGCAAUUAAAAUUUGUGAAUAAUGUAUUUCCCCUCUUGAUAAAUAAUGUGGAUGGCCCGCAGUCUACUCAUAUUCCUGGCUGGGGAUUUAACAGGCUAUUGUGUUAGCAACAAUAUGGAUGCAAAUUGUAAACAUUCAUCAUCUCCAGGGCUUCAUGCAAUUUUCAAAACAAUGUUGAAAAAGAUGCUCCAACUCCAUCCCAAAACAAACCACGGUUUGGGUGCUUUUCUUACAGUUUCCAAAGCCAGCUUAUUUUCCAGUAACUUCUAUCUAUUGUAUAAAAUAUUGCAAACUCUACCAGAAAGCGAAUAGUUGUGGAUUAAAAGCUUAAUAAUGUCCCAUCUCUUUAGAUGGCAUGAACUAUUGUUUAAAGGUGUAUUACCCAAACCUCCCAUACGGUGGAAUUUAAUAGUAAAUCCCCUGUCCGUAUUUACUAGCAUGUAUUUACAAGGCAAAUUGAAUUUGUGUAGCGAAAACUUCCCAAUGCUAUCUUUAAUCUUAAAUUUUUAUGACAAUUAUUAUCUUUAUUCAUGGAAACCUUUGAUCCUAACUGGGAAGCCUGAAGAUUUGAAAGUCUUAAGUUUUUGCCAGGGACGGGAGACUUUUAUCAUUAUGACUCAGAAUGGCACUGUUGAGAAGGAUGUGGGUCAGUAUGGCAGUGUUAGGGGAAGGAGCUGGGUCAGUACAGCAGUGUUAGAACAUCUGUCACUACGGCACUGUUAAGAGAAGGAUGUGAGUCAGUACGGCAGUGCUAGGAGAAGGACCUGGGUCAGUACCACACUGUUAGGGGAAGGAUGUGGGUCAGUACAGCAGUGUUAGGAGAAAGUCCUGGGUCAGCAUGGCAGUGUUAGGAGAAGGACAUGGGUCAGUAUAUCACUGUUAGGGGAAGGAUGUAGGUCAGCAUGGCAGUGUUGAAAAGGACAUGGUCAGUAAGUGCAAGCCACCUUCUUUUGAGACUCUGAUCAUGUGGGGGAAAAAGACAAUAUAACUCAUGGAGUAGGGUCACAAAAGACACAAAAUCUAGUUGGUAGAUCCAUCAAAAUAUAAGACACAGGAAAGUAUAAGGAAUAAAAAUUUAGUAAAUGGCCAUCGAAUAAAUAUUUUAUAUUUCUUAAGAAAAAUGCUAUUUUCUGAGAUGCAAAGAUUUCAUAGAGAAAGUAAAAUCGAAUGAAGAUUUUUUUGGGGGGAGGGUGAACUCUAAAUAACAGUAGUCCCCUUUAUUCAUGUGUAUGUAUUCCAAAAUCCCUAUAGAUAGAUGGCAAAACACUGCAUUAUGUGUUUUCACUAAAUAUAUCUAUGAUGAAACUAAACUUAUAAAUUAGGGACAAUAAAAGACUAACAAUGACUAACAAGCAGGACAAUUGUUACAAUAUUUAUGCACCAUGGGGACUGCCAGAAUCACUACUCUGUGCCUUUGGUUGUCUAUUAAGUAAAAUGAAGGUUACAGGAAAGGGGACUUUGUGACGUAUAGUGGCCAAGUCCAUGACUUUGAUGUUGUGGGGUGACCAAUGAGUAGAUAGGGUUCAUAUGUGGAUGGGGAGAGGCUCCUUGGUUGGAAGCCCCAUAGGAGAGUCAUAAAGACAAAGGAAGCUUACAGGAUUGGGAGCAACAGGGAGAUGCCUGGGAGAUGAGUUUCCUUAAUCCAGGAAGUGGAGAGAUGACGAUGACAGGAAGCAAAGCCAAGACAUUGAAAACCCUGAGACAAACUGCUUUGAGACCUGGCUGCUGUGGGUUGACCAGUUCUCUGGUAAGGAUGUAGGCAAUCUCUACUACAUCAGACCAGUAGAAUUUGUAUGAUCCAGUGUCUUUGGGCUAAAGUUUUCUUCUAUGCAGAGGAGGUAAUAUCUGUCCUGCAGAGGUGUGAGGGCUUUAAGAAAUGCGAGCUCAAUGUGACCUAAGGAGCUCUGAUCAUGUUAGCAGUCAUUUUCUGAGGGGUGGAUUGGCAGGGUGGACACACUGAGGUCUUCUGCAAUGGGAAAUGAUGUCAUUAAAUGAGUAGGUGUAGAGUUUGGGGAGUGCUAACUUUAAAUAAUGUGUAGAGUUAAUCAAAGAAGCGCGCGCGUGUGUGUGUGUGUGUGUUGGGGUGAAGGGGAUGGUACCGCAGUAUAGUGAAAUGAGGCUUGAGGAAGCCAUACUGUAGUGAGGCAUAGUAGUAAAAGUGAACUCAAUGACAGUGAUGAAACCUAGAGGAAAACACGUUAACCUAAGGAUAAAGAAAAAGCACCAAACUAGUAGAAGAAAACACUAAAAUCUUGUAAAGAACAAUUAAAAAAAGUUUUAGUUUCUCAAUGGGUCUAUUUCUUAUCUUCUUAGUUGAUGACAGGCCUUUAUCCAUCAACUAUGAGUACUUAAUUUUGUGGCAUUGAUCAUUGGGUCUGAAGGUGAUCAUGUCAGAAAGUUGGGCCUGUUUUCUUACAACAUUUAUACUUGAAGACAAAUCCUACUGUCUCUCUGGACAGGGCUCAAAGAUAACUCACCAGAAACCUCUAGUGGAGUCUAAGACUAUGAAGCCAAUCAGGGGUUAGAGGAGAAGCAGCAAGAUUUAGAGGUUUUGUGACAAUGAGAUUAAUUAAGGCUCACAGACUUGGCAGGUGUCUUUUACAAUUUCUGUAAGCUAACCACAAUCUUUUCAGUAGACGCCUUUCUGUUUAAGCUAGGCUGUGUCAUAGAGAUAUCAAUAUAUUGGACAGCAUAAGAUAAAGUUUCUGCAACCUAAAAUAUGAUAAAAAUUAAGCCCAAAAUUGGGAAAUACUUAUAAUAAAUACAAUUUGAUAAGAAGGUUAUUCUCAUUGAGUGUAAAGAAUUUACAAAUUUGUAAGAAAAUAACAUUGAGAGAAGUGACAUAGGCCACAAGCGGGCCACUUGCAAAAAAGUACAAUCAAUAAAAUAAGCCUGCUUGAAUAUCAAUCAAAUAUAAACCAAAAUAGCAAAGGAUUUUCACCAAUCAUAUUGCAAGGUUUUGGAAAAUAGGAUAGUAAUAUUUGUGAAUAACAUGUGGGAUAUUCCAAUUUUCUUAAAGUAUCCUUCUGUUGUACAUCAAAAGCCUUCAAAAUGUCUAUAAUUUUUAAUGGAAAUAUUCUGUGUUUAGGACUUAUAUAUGAUUGAACAUCCCAGUGUGAAUCUCUCUGUCUAUAAAACUGUGUACAUAGGCACAAAGACUCACAUACAAAGAUGAUGGUGAUACACUACUCAAAUUAUAAGUAAUUAUCAGAUUAAUUAAGAAUGAAGAAUCACAUGAUGGAAAAUGAAGCAUCAACAAAUCACGUGAAUUUAGACUGUUCUUGUCAUUGGAAAAGCUCACUGAAGAACUCUAAUGCAGAAUGAGCACAGGUUAAGAUGAUCUGCUAAGGUCUCAGUUGCUGUUGUUCCAAGUGCAUAUGAUGCAUGCAGAUCUUAGAAGGUGAAAUGAAACUUUCACUGUGGCCUUAAAGUUUUUGGCUAACACAGUGCAUAGUUGAUGUUCAUAUUCUUAACAAAGGUGUUAGAGCCUCUAUAGUAUUAUUCACUGUAAAUUAAUGAAAAAGCAAAGCCCAGUAAUCAAUGUUAACAGUAGCAGAAGGCUGCAGAAGAGAUCUACUGCUACCCCCAGAAAGGAUCAUUGGUAGCUGUUUGUAGAAGUUAAGAGUGCUAUAUGGCAUGAAUCUGAGCCCCCUGGAGGUGGUCUGAAGAUGGGAAGUUGGCUGGCACUGUUCAUCUGUUCAUCAAAGGGGUGAAGGGAGCAUCAGGGUUACUCCUAGAUGAUGCUGUGUGUUUUUUCCCAUGGUGAGAGAGGUGGAGUAAGGAAAAUGAAUGGCCUCCUCCACUUCAGGUCCCUGAGCUGCACAUAGAUCUGGGCUCACAGAAAGUACCCAUUUUGCCUUGGACUUAAACCUGCAUUUGUUACUGUUUGCACAACAAGAAGCUCCAGUAGUUCCGAGAGGGGAAGCCUAUGGGGUCUGCCUACAUUUAAUGGCUGAGGAAGGGGGAUGACUGACGAUACAGGUUUGAAGGCAGUAUGUGUGCAUAUGGGGUGCUUCAUGCUUGAAGCAGUGAGCAUGUUUGUGGAGACCGAGCCCUUGCUAUUCUCCAACAGUCCCAUCUUAUUAACAACUGCUCCUAGCAAACCACACUAGGAUUUACACAUAAGCAGUAUCUGUGUCAUCUCUGUGGGGUGAGGGUCUGGGUGCCACAACUAAAACAAAGACAAGCAAACAAAACCAAAUCGGAAUGAAACAGAGUUAGAUGACAAAAUAAGAUAUAAGCGGAAGGCAUUGUAUAAGAAAUGGCGCAUGGACUUAAGACCUGGGCAACAAGAGGGGACUCGUGCUUACUACUGGAAACCUGUCUACUCAGUGCUAGCUAGAGAAGUCAUGGUUUUUGGAGGAGAAUCUACGGCCUCUCAUUUCCUAAACAUUAAGUCUAAACAUUAGUCCUUAUACCGACAUCUAAGUGUAGUCUUCACUCAUUAAGGAAACUUCUCUUUGAAACAGAUGGGAUCAUUCCAUAAAACUACAGGCAAUCAAAAGUUAGAGUCGUAGAGACCAGUUGCAGUGGGCAUAUUUACAAAACGACUCCUGCACCCAAGGCUCAGGGAACCUUGCCAAAGGGGUAGACAAAUUGUAAGAGCCAGAGGAUCAGGGAGUUUACUGUUCAGACGACGUCUCCUAGCACUGUCAGACGUGACACACAUAAACUGUCACCAACAUGGCUGACCAAACAUAGGUUGAACGAGGAUGAAAUUAAUGAAUGUGCCAAACUGGUUAGGGAAAAAAAUCCCACAGGGCCUUAGCUCUACGUGAAAAGCUAUAGGCAACUGAGGUAAGCUGGGAAGGCUGUUCUUCCUCAGGCCUUGUGCCAUGGUCAGCCCUGGAGACAUACAUGCAAGUGAGAUGAUGUGGAUCGAACGAACGGGUUAUAUUUAGGGAUAUAUAUAUAUAUAUAUAUAUAUAUAUAUGGAUAUAGUGUACACAUAUGCAUGUGAUAGCGAUUAGUGAAAGCAAGAGGUCACGAAUUUAGAGGAGAUUGGGGAUCUCUGUAUGGAAGGGUUUAGAAGGAGAAAUGUAAUUGUCUUAUAGAAAUAAUAAUAAAUGGCUCCAGCGGGGGGAACAAGAAGCAAGAUCAAAAGUUCAGGAGGGAAGAGAAUUAAUUGUCUUUUACUUAUGUCUAAAGAGCUGCUCGUUGUAUCUAUAUUUCUGUUGGCGUGACUUUCCUUAUCCCUCUUCAUGUCUCGCCGUACUGUGCUGUCACCCUCCUUCCUGAGAAGAUUCAGUGACCUCAUAAUUAGUAUGUAUUCUGCCCGUCAAGUUCUGUUUCGUCAGCAGAGCCAUCUCAAAAUAGGCUCUCCUUACUUUCCAUCUCUCCCUAGCUCUUCCAAAACAUCUUGUUAACUAGGGUCAAGCCAAUUUCUUCAUGGUCUUUUAUUAGAGAACAAGGGUAAUGACUUGGGCCUCUGUUAAUUUUUCAUGAAUUUAAAUUGUUUCCAGGAGCUCACCUUGGGCUCAGUUUUCCUUUUGUUUGAGGGAAGCAAACACUUGGUUUAGUAGUUGGUAAUAUAUUAAGCAAAAUUCUCAGUUUUCUCCCCCUCCUUCUCCUCCUCCCUUUCCCCUUCCCUCUCUCCCUCUCACUCCCCUCCCCUUCCUCCUCCCCCUCCCCUCCCCCUCCCUCUCUCCCUACCCUGCCUUCUCACUCUCUCCCUCCCCCUCCCCUCCCCUUCUCCCCCCCUCCUUCCCCUCCCCCUCCCCUCUCUCCAUGAAUGAUGGAAUGAUGGGACUGGUGUGUGUGUGUGUGUGUGUGUGUGUGUGUGUGUGUGUGUGUGUGCGCGCAAUCAUACACUCUACACUAUAUUAUUUAGGAUAAUCUCAGAAAAUAUCUUUGAACUGAUUGUACCUAAGUAAUUUCCAUGGACUCGCUCAAUCUGAUAAUUCAUUACCAAAGCUACUAGGUUUCUGGAAUUUAAGCUGGCCCCUGUUUCUUUCCUGAAUCUGAUAAAUUUCCUAGAUCGUGAUUUUUUUUUUUUUUUACUUAAUGUUAUAGUUAUGUGAAAGUAAUUGGCUAUAACGACUUAAAUCAGAUAAAAGAGAUUUAGAUUAAAAGUGAACCAUCCCAAUUUAAAUCAAUUUGUACUCACAAUAAAAAGAAACAUCUUUAUGUUACUAUUAUCAUUUUAAGACUAUUUUCUGGAUCUCCAAACAAGCUUAUUAAAACCGUGGGAGGGGCUGACAAGCUGGCUUAGUAAGGAAAGGUGCCCACUGCCAGGCCUGACGACCUGGGGUUGAUCCCUAGGACCCAUGUGGAAGGAGAGAGAACAGGUUUUCACAAUUUGUCCUCUGACCUGCACAUAAAGACUGUCGCAUGUGCAUACCUUCACGUUUAUGCACAUAUAUACACACAAUAAAUGUAAUAAAACAACACAUCUUCAAUUUUUGACAUCUGGUAAAUAUACCUUUUGCUUGACAUUGGUGAACAGACUCAGGGAAUUCAAACAGAGGCUCCCACUUUCAUAUACAUAUAUUUGGAAAAAGAAAUUAUAAAUGUAUUCUCUUUUACACAAGCUGAGUGUUAAAGUGAAAACAAGAGAGAGGUUAGAUAUUGGCAGAGGUCAAGGCAUUCUUUCAAGUCCAAAAAAGGGCCACGUCUAAUAGGACUGAUGUGAGCUGCGUUCUUCAGCCAUCCUAGUUACAGCCCAUGGGCUGGAUUUGACCUCAUCACCAUUGACAACAGUACUGGUCAUAAUACCAACAGCUUUAGAUGUUAGGUAUUUUAAAACUCACAAUCAGUCAUUCAUAGAAACUCAAUCCUAGUUGAACAGAUUUUUCUUGGUCUGUGCUCCUCUUUUAUCAGAUCCCCCAACUCCAUUGUUUUAUACAGCAGCAAGGCUGAGGUAGACUUUGAAACACUAAGGCCUGAUCUCAGUCUGCAGAUCAGCCUAUCUCAGGAGGAGCCUAAACCCAGAGACAAACCUGAUACGAGUGUAUUGCCAUCAACACAGUAAUUUCAUCAUCAACUUGACUGGAUUUCGAGUCACCUUGGAGAUGUACCUGUCGGGCUGCCUCUGAGAUAUUUUCCAAAGAGAUUUAACUGAGGGACAACCCACCCUGACUGAGGACAGUACCGUCCCAUGCAUGGGCUGAGGUCCAAAGUCAAGUGGACAGGACCUAGAAAGUGAGCUGCGUGCCAGCAUCUCUCUCUCUGCUUCUGGAUGGUGCAUGCAGCAUAAACAGAUGACGUCACAGCCGGGAGCUGCUCCCUCCACAGUUCCUUCCCCAUUGUGAUGGUUCCUCUAACCGUGAACAAAUCACACCCUUUCUCUCAGGAACUACUUCUUGUUAUACACUUUGUAACCAGUACACACCUCACUGCUCAUCUACUCAUUCAGCAGAUCCUCCCUCGUCCCAGCGGCUCCUCCACCUUCCACCCACAGAUUGCCCCUAUUCCACUUCUGAGUCUUCCUACAUGUAAAAACACAUGUGCAUUCUGUAUAAGAGGGAAAGCAUGUGACACUUGCCAUUCUGAACACGGCCUAUUUCUCUGAAUAAGAUGAACUCUAGUGCCAUUCACUGCAAACAACAUACUUUUGUGAAGAGGACAUUGUAGAUGCGAUUCAGUUAGGGAUGUUGAGAUGGACUUUUAGGAUGAUGCAGGUUCAUUUGGGAGCCUAAUGCAGCUGCUGGGGUUCUCUUAAGAGGAAGACAGGAGGGUCAAAGGCAGAGAAUAGGAUGCAGUGAAGGAAGCAGGGAGCAGCGAUGUGAGCGAGGGGCUGGGACGCGGAGUGCAGAAACUUCUAAGAGCUGGGAAAGCAAGGAAGGGCUAGAAAUAUAGCCCUGUCAACAUCUCAAUUUUAAUGUUCGAAUUACCCUAGAUGCACAGAACACAUGAAACUCAAGAAGGAUGACCAAAAUGCGAAGGCUUCACUCCUUCUUUAAAAGGGGAACAAGAAUACCCUUGGGAGGGAUUAGGGAGGCAAAGUUUAGAACAGAGGCUGAAGGAAAACCCAUUCAGAGCCUGCCCCAUGUGUGGCUCAUACAUAUACGGCCACCAAACUAGAUAAGAUGGGUGAAGCAAAGAAGUGCAGGCUGACAGGAACAGGAUGUAGAUCUUUCCUGAGAGACACAGCCAGAAUAUGGCAAAUACAUAGGCGAAUGCCAGCAGCAAACCACUGAACUGAGAACGGGACCCCCAUUGAAGGAAUCAGAGAAAGGACUUGAAGGGCUUGAGACCCCAUAUGAACAACAAUGCCAACCAACCAGAGCUUCCAGGGACUAAACUACUACCUAAAGACUAUACAUGGACUGACCCUGGGCUCCAACUGCAUAGGUAGUAAUGAAUAGCCUAGUAAGGGCACCAGUGGAAGGGGAAGCCCUUGGUCCUGCCAAGACUGAACCCCCCCAGAGAACGGGAUUGUGGGGAGCAGGGCGGUAAUGGGGGGAGGAUGGGAAGGGGAACACCCAUAGAGAAGGGGAGAGGGUGGGGUUAAGGGGAUGUUGGCCAGGAAACUGGGAAAGGUAAUAACAAUGGAAAUGUAAAUAAGAAAUACCCAAUUUAAUAAAGAUGGAGAAAAAAAUAAAAACCCUACAGAAAUGAAAGAUAAUAAUUUUGUUAUUUUAAGUCAUCGAAUAUGUUUGUAUGUUUAUACACGUGUGUAUGUUUAUGUGUAUGUGUGUGAGUUUUUGGGUAUGUGUGUGUAUGUAAGCGUGUGUGUAUGUGUAUGUGUGUGUGUGUGUGUGUGUGUGUGUGUUUGUGUGUAUAUGUGUGUGUGUUUAGUGACAACAGGAAACAGGUGCAA
This is a non-coding RNA of Rattus norvegicus (Norway rat), 9122 nucleotides long. NCBI's taxonomy places the organism in Eukaryota, Metazoa, Chordata, Mammalia, Rodentia, Muridae. The record is from RefSeq and is a predicted model, not a curated record.